GAUGAAGAACGUAGCGAAAUGCGAUACUUGGUGUGAAUUGCAGAAUCCCGUGAACCAUCUAGUCUUUGAACGCAAGUUGCGCCCGAAGCCAUCAGGUUGAGGGCACGUCUGCCUGGGCGUCACAUAUCGUUGCCCAAUGCCUAUUGCAGUGCAAUAGGAAUUUCUAGGGCGAAUGAUGGCUUCCCGUGAGCGUUGUUGCCUCGCGGUUGGUUGAAAAUCGAGUCCUUGGUAGGGUGUGCCAUGGUAGAUGGUGGUCGAGUUAGAACGAUACCGAUCAUGUGCAUGCUCCCCAAAAUAUGGCCUCUAUGACCCACACGCGUCUUUUGACGCUCAUGACGAGACCUCAGGUCAGGCGGGGCUACCCGCUGAAUUUAAGCAUAUCAAUAACGGAGGA
RNAcentral lists this unclassified non-coding RNA (394 nucleotides) under soil metagenome. Its description in RNAcentral is "partial contains 5.8S ribosomal RNA, internal transcribed spacer 2, and large subunit ribosomal RNA". The stretch from base 1 to 122 matches the Rfam family "5.8S ribosomal RNA", at positions 35 to 154 of the family's 154-position model. The record is from RNAcentral.